UACGUAGGGUGCAAGCGUUGUCCGGAAUUAUUGGGCGUAAAGAGCUCGUAGGCGGUCUGUCGCGUCUGCUGUGAAAACUCGGGGCUUAACCCCGGGCCUGCAGUGGGUACGGGCAGACUAGAGUGCGGUAGGGGAGACUGGAAUUCCUGGUGUAGCGGUGAAAUGCGCAGAUAUCAGGAGGAACACCGGUGGCGAAGGCGGGUCUCUGGGCCGAUACUGACACUGAGAAGCGAAAGCGUGGGGAGCGAACAGG
RNAcentral lists this ribosomal RNA (253 nucleotides) under uncultured bacterium. RNAcentral describes it as "partial 16S ribosomal RNA". It matches the Rfam family "Bacterial small subunit ribosomal RNA", at positions 524 to 776 of the family's 1533-position model. The record is from RNAcentral.